UACGUAGGGAGCAAGCGUUGUCCGGAAUCAUUGGGCGUAAAGCGCGCGUAGGUGGCCCUGUAAGUCCGCUCUGAAAGUCGAAGGCUCAACCUUCGAAAGCGGGUGGAUACUGCAGGGCUAGAGUCCGGAAGAGGCGAGUGGAAUUCCUGGUGUAGCGGUGGAAUGCGCAGAUAUCGAGAGGAACACCUGCGGCGAAGGCGGGUUGCUGGGCUGACACUGACGCUGAUGCGCGAAAGCCAGGGGAGCGAACGGG
This 253-nucleotide ribosomal RNA is filed under the name uncultured bacterium. RNAcentral describes it as "partial 16S ribosomal RNA". It matches the Rfam family "Bacterial small subunit ribosomal RNA", at positions 524 to 776 of the family's 1533-position model. The record is from RNAcentral.